CGGCACUCUUCUAUGUAUAGGUAGUGUGAAUAAACUCUGUAUUUCUGAUGUUUCAGCCUAUGAGCAGGCUACCAGAGAAUGCGAGAGCCUCAGGUAUAUCACAGACUUGUCACAGUCGAGUGACUGUGGUGAAUCGCCAGCUGCGCCAAUAAGGGCUGCAUCUGAUUCCGAGGAUGAAUGGAGAGAUGAAGAACCAAACAGCAACAGCCUCGGGGCCAGUCCUGGCGAAGGUCAAAGGAAUGCCAGCUCGCGACGUGGGUCACUGGCCUCAGCCCACUUCAUGUUUGGCGGCGUGCAGUCGGACGUAGCGGAUAAACUGCUGAGGGUUUUCACAAGAAGGUGCUUGGGCACCUCGAGCGUCAGAUGGAAGAGAUCAGGAACAAGAGAGAGGAAAUCCGCCAUUUGAAAAUCAUGCUGCAGCAGAAAGAACAUAACAGUGCUGUAGUGAUCGGUAACAUUGAGGGAUGCCGCAGCUGCCAUUGCAAACCAUGGAUGAAUUUAACAACAUGGAGUCAUUCAUCACAGAAGAAAACAACUUCAAUGCUGUGGUGCAGCCUCUGCGAAGUGUUGGCGGCCACACCCCGAG
Molecule: long non-coding RNA, 586 nt
Organism: Ornithodoros turicata
Lineage: Eukaryota; Metazoa; Arthropoda; Arachnida; Ixodida; Argasidae
Exons: 5
Source: RefSeq, a predicted model, not a curated record